Molecule: long non-coding RNA, 1255 nt
Organism: Gasterosteus aculeatus (three-spined stickleback)
Lineage: Eukaryota; Metazoa; Chordata; Actinopteri; Perciformes; Gasterosteidae
Source: Ensembl
GGCACCAUGGGGAGCCACAUGGCACCAUGGGGAGUAACAUUGGGCACCAUGGGGAGUAACAUUGGGCACCAUGGGGAGCCACAUGGCACCAUGGGGAGCCACAUGGCACCAUGGGGAGUAACAUUGGGCACCAUGGGGAGUAACAUUGGGCACCAUGGGGAGCCACAUGGCACCAUGGGGAGCCACAUGGCACCAUGGGGAGUAACAUUGGGCACCAUGGGGAGUAACAUUGGGCACCAUGGGGUGCCACAUGGCAGCACGGGGUGCCACAUGGCAGCACGGGGUGCCACAUGGCAGCACGGGGUGCACCGCGCGAGAGGAAGAGGCUGCAUUUGACCUUUUUGAGGCAAAUCACCUCUGACCCCCAACAAUCAAAAUAUCCAUUUCAAGCAGCAGUUGGAUCAGAAGAUGAAUUCCACCUUCAUAUCAGUCUGUUAAAUAUCAAUUGGCAGCUAGCAGCCAGCUAGCUUAGCGGCUUCUUUUACUUGUUUUUAUCCUGGAUAGUAAACAAGCUGCUGGCUUUUUUUUAUAUUUAGAGAUGAAACAUUGAUAAAGCAGAUUUCCCGAGAGGGCAAACUAUUAUUUUUCAGUCAGUGAGACGUUUGCAGCUAAAGUGAAGUGGUACCUUUCCAUAAACCUGCUGUCCUCUCGUUAGAGCGGCACCAUGUAAAGGACGAUGUCUGAUCUCUGCCCGUCCUGUAGGGGACUUCUCCUGGCGCGCGGGCGCAGAGCGGACCCCCGGCGUGACCCCGGCGCUGCUGCUACUGCCCACCGCGUCGCCCGUGCUGCCCGGAGGCCUGGACGAGGACGAGGAGGGGAUGGAGGACGCGGAGGAGGACAUCCAGGCCACGGUGGCGCGCCUGUCCGAGGCCUUCGCGGCGCUGCGCUCCGUCCUCACGCCGCUCUUCUUCCGCGGCCUCCUGGCCUUCCUGACGUGGUGGGUGGCGGCCUGCCAGGUCAUCAGCUCCCUGUUCGGCAUCUACUUCCACCAGUACCUCAUGCAGAACUAACCGAGGACGCCGCCACGGGACCCUUACUCACAACACGCAGCUACCGAGGGAACAACAGGGGGCUACUGCAGUUACACAAGUACACAGCGAACUGGGGCCGGUGUCACAAAGCUGGUUAUUGUCCGGCUCAGAUCAGCUACACUCACAUGAAAGAGCUUUUUAUUAGUCACUUAAUGACCGCUGGAUUCAUUUCCUUUAUGGAUGAGUGCAACACUUCGAUGCUUUUUACAUGUUCACCAGUCUAG